Non-coding RNA from Phascolarctos cinereus (koala), 218 nucleotides. The record is from RefSeq and is a predicted model, not a curated record. NCBI's taxonomy places the organism in Eukaryota, Metazoa, Chordata, Mammalia, Diprotodontia, Phascolarctidae.
CGUUGAUUGACUUUGGAGGUUCCCUUGAAUUGAUGGCAUUUUUCAAAUUCACACACACCCAGCCCUUGAAUUCAAGCAAGGAUUAUAUUUUGGAUUUGGGCCUGAGCAAGAACAGAAAAAGGAAAAGUUAUUUUGAUUUCAUUCAAAGAGUGGAGAAGAAGAAGAAUGCUGCCAAGUGAUCAGAGUUGGAGAAGUCUCCCUCCCUUCUGCCUCCGCCA